GCACUGCUGAGGAGUGCAACAGUUGGACGAAACGAUCGUCCAGUGC
RNAcentral lists this non-coding RNA (46 nucleotides) under Schistosoma mattheei. Lineage: Eukaryota; Metazoa; Platyhelminthes; Trematoda; Strigeidida; Schistosomatidae. The record is from RNAcentral.